CGAGAAUGUAGGUGUGUAAACUUCAAAUAUCUGCUUGUUUUAUCAAGACAUCCCAUAUUUAGCGACAGUGCUCUGACGACGUCGGUCCUGCCUGACAGCUAGCCGGCUACCUAGCUAGCUGCCGCACUUGGCUGCAAAUGGAUAGCGAGGGACUCUCUCUGUCGUUUCACCUCCCCGGUCUCUCGCAAAUGCUCGCACAGAAUCGGAGUUACAGCUGGAUGUGGAAAAAAUAACUGAGUUGUUUGGUGGUGCUAUAACGCGGAGCUACAACAGUGGGCAGCUAUCCACCGGUGUAUGACAGAAAGGACAUGCCGCGACCGCCGAUCGACCGGUGUUUGCUAACGCGGAGGUCAAUCGUGGAUCAGGGAAAGCAAAGGCAGGAGCGUGAGGUGAACUGAAUUUCAGGUAAGAAGUUAUGACCUGCACUCUAUUUGGGUCAGAUAUAAACCGAGUUUAGGUGUAGUUUAUUUAGCAGCAGUUCUCUUAUGUGUUGCUGAUAGCCGGCUAGCUAGCUAGCGCCGCUAGCAUAGUUAGCUAGCGCCGCUAGCGACCCUUCGUGAAAAAGCACCCAGGCUUGGCUUAUAUUGAGGCGGGUGAAACUCGUGUCAGC
Oreochromis aureus is the source of this 610-nucleotide long non-coding RNA. Lineage: Eukaryota; Metazoa; Chordata; Actinopteri; Cichliformes; Cichlidae. The record is from Ensembl.